AGUGAACGCUGGCGGUAGGCCUAACACAUGCAAGUCGAACGGCAGCACAGUAAGAGCUUGCUCUUACGGGUGGCGAGUGGCGGACGGGUGAGGAAUACAUCGGAAUCUACUUUUUCGUGGGGGAUAACGUAGGGAAACUUACGCUAAUACCGCAUACGACCUACGGUUGAAAGCAGGGGAUCUUCGGACCUUGCGCGAUUGAAUGAGCCGAUGUCGGAUUAGCUAGUUGGCGGGGUAAAGGCCCACCAAGGCGACGAUCCGAAGCUGGUCUGAGAGGAUGAUAAGCCACACUGGAACUGAGACACGGUCCAGACUCCUACGGGAGGCAGCAGUGGGGAAUAUUGGACAGUGGGGGCAAGCCUGAUCCAGCCAUACCGAGUGGGUGAAGAAGGCCUUCGGGUUGUAAAGCCCUUUUGUCGGGAAAGAAAAGCAGCAGGUUAAUACCCAGCUGUUCUGACGGUACCCAAAGAAUAAGCACCGGCUAACUUCGUG
This 492-nucleotide ribosomal RNA is filed under the name uncultured bacterium. RNAcentral's name for it is "partial 16S ribosomal RNA". It matches the Rfam family "Bacterial small subunit ribosomal RNA", at positions 29 to 507 of the family's 1533-position model. The record is from RNAcentral.